Molecule: ribosomal RNA, 224 nt
Filed under: uncultured bacterium
Lineage: Bacteria
Description: partial 16S ribosomal RNA
Rfam family: Bacterial small subunit ribosomal RNA
Source: RNAcentral
CUGCCUGGAAGUCCGGGAUAACCUGUCGAAAGACUGGCUAAUACCGGCUAAGCCCACAGGAUCUUUGGAUCCCGAGGGAAAAGAUGGCCUCUGUAAACAAGCUAUCACUUCCAGAUGAGCCCGCGGCCCAUCAGCUAGUUGGCGGGGUAAUGGCCCACCAAGGCUACGACGGGUAGCUGGUCUGAGAGGACGAUCAGCCACACUGGAACUGAGACACGGUCCAG